Long non-coding RNA from Cynara cardunculus var. scolymus (artichoke), 586 nucleotides. RefSeq lists it as uncharacterized. The transcript is spliced from 2 exons. The record is from RefSeq and is a predicted model, not a curated record. NCBI's taxonomy places the organism in Eukaryota, Viridiplantae, Streptophyta, Magnoliopsida, Asterales, Asteraceae.
UUUAGAAGAUAAUGCAGUAAACAGAUUUUAUCUUGCUGUGAAUGGUGUUGCUGUCAUUUGUGCACUGGAACAGCAGCCCGGGUGCUGCAAAUAGAAUCUAGACUGUUUUGAUUAAGCGUGUGUGAAAGGACUGUUUAUUACACAAUCUUGGAAAGGAGGAUAAAGUGUCUGCUGAUUCUUGCUAAAACAGCUAUGUUUUGCUAGGAUCAUUGUUCAUAGCUACCAACAUCUGUGAAAGCAUUAUCUGGAAAGCAUUCAGCCCUUGCAGGUUUUGUAAACUGUUUUUAAACAGAUUUGAAGCUGCUGUUUCUGAUUGCUGCUGCGAAUGCUCUAAAAGUUUAGUAGCAGCAUCUCAACGACUCCAAGUUUUCUCAUGUGAAGCAGCAUCUUCAGCUAACUACAUUUCAUAGUCUAAAGCAGGAUCAUACCCUAUAGAUCUUAACARCCAUUCGGUUUUGAAUUAGUUUGUAAUUUGGGUUUCUUAGUUUUUAGUUUUGUUUAGAUUGUAUUAUUUUGGAUCAUUUCGUGUAUUUGUUAUCUUUUUGUGUUUUAACUGUUUGAGAAUAUCUGAACUGUUUUGGAUCGC